ACAUCAUAGCUGGGGAACAGGGAUUCACAAGACCCAGGCUGUUCCCUACAUAUUUUUCCUCCUCAGACAUCAGUUCAUCAGUCAAUCAAGUCAUGUGAGAGUGGAGGCCAUGUAUUCCGUAUUCUUGGGCACUCUCCUCCAAGGAGGAAAAGGCCAGGAGGUCCUGUUAGAGGAUGCACUCUGAGAGGCCGGGCUCCCUAAGGUGUGAGAGUUCUAACCAGCAGGUGUAGACUUUUCAGGAGUGAGGAAUGAGGCAGGCAUUCCAAACCUGGAGCUUCAUCACCUUUUGUUUCAUCUCAAGACAAUUCUGAGGGGCUGUUUUGGAACGUGUCUGGAAGGUGAACGUUGAAGAAGAGUGUGGGCUUUGAUGUGACUCAGAUAAGAUCUUUCAUGGGGAGGCAGGAAUUUAAUGCCCAGAAUCUGGGCUGGUGUCUUUGAGGUCAGUGGGUUGCCUUUUUGUAUCCAAGUCCAUUGUUACUAGGUUGGAGGCUGGAGAUUCUAAAUGGCUUCCAGACCGCCUCUCUGAUUCUCUUUUGGAGAUGGGGUCUGAAAAAGACAAUGUCAGUAUUUUUGGGAAAUUCUGGAAAGUCUGUUUGGAAACCUGUGAAGACCUCUUGCCUAGUGCCU
Molecule: long non-coding RNA, 627 nt
Filed under: Pongo abelii (Sumatran orangutan)
Lineage: Eukaryota; Metazoa; Chordata; Mammalia; Primates; Hominidae
Description: lincRNA
Source: RNAcentral